RNAcentral lists this ribosomal RNA (354 nucleotides) under Phoronis hippocrepia. RNAcentral's name for it is "partial 12S ribosomal RNA". The record is from RNAcentral. Lineage: Eukaryota; Metazoa; Phoronida; Phoronidae.
AUUUUUUSUUAUAAAGAACUUGCUAGAGUACUUAUAACUACAGUUUAAAACUCAAAAAACUUGGCGGCAAGCUUAAUUUUUCAGGGGAGCCUGCUUUUGAAUCGAUAAUCCCCGUUAUACCUUACUUUCUUUAUUUAGUUUGUUUACUGCCGUUUUUGCUAACGCUAAAAGGUUAAAAAAGUUAGCUCAAGAAAUAAUAAUUCUUAUAUCAGGUCAUUGUGCAGCUAAUAAGGAAGUUAAAGUGGGCUACAAUAAGAAUGAUUAUACGGAUUAAAGGUUAAAAAAUCUUUGUGAAGGUGGACUUGAAAGUAAAUUAAUUAUCAGAGAAAAUUUUUGAAUUUCUCUUAAGUUGUG